This 496-nucleotide ribosomal RNA is filed under the name uncultured bacterium. RNAcentral's name for it is "partial 16S ribosomal RNA". It matches the Rfam family "Bacterial small subunit ribosomal RNA", at positions 29 to 507 of the family's 1533-position model. The record is from RNAcentral.
AUGCACGCUGGCGGCGUGCCUCAUACAUGCAAGUCGAGCGAACAGAUGAGGAGCUUGCUCCUCUGACGUUAGCGGCGGACGGGUGAGUAACACGUGGAUAACCUACCUAUAAGACUGGGAUAACUUCGGGAAACCGGAGCUAAUACCGGAUAAUAUAUUGAACCGCAUGGUUCAAUAGUGAAAGACGGUUUUGCUGUCACUUAUAGAUGGAUCCGCGCCGCAUUAGCUAGUUGGUAAGGUAAGGGCUUACCAAGGCAACGAUGCGUAGCCGACCUGAGAGGGUGAUCGGCCACACUGGAACUGAGACACGGUCCAGACUCCUACGGGAGGCAGCAGUAGGGAAUCUUCCGCAAUGGGCGAAAGCCUGACGGAGCAACGCCGCGUGAGUGAUGAAGGUCUUCGGAUCGUAAAACUCUGUUAUUAGGGAAGAACAAAUGUGUAAGUAACUAUGCACGUCUUGACGGUACCUAAUCAGAAAGCCACGGCUAACUACGUG